RNAcentral lists this ribosomal RNA (449 nucleotides) under uncultured bacterium. RNAcentral's name for it is "partial 16S ribosomal RNA". It matches the Rfam family "Bacterial small subunit ribosomal RNA", at positions 354 to 796 of the family's 1533-position model. The record is from RNAcentral.
GUCGAGAAUCUUUCACAAUGGGGGCAACCCUGAUGGAGCGACGCCGCGUGGAGGAUAAGGUCUUCGGAUUGUAAACUCCUGUCAUGCGUGAACAAGGUUGCUUGGUUAAUACCUGGGCAAAUUGAUGGUAACGCAAGAGGAAGAGACGGCUAACUCUGUGCCAGCAGCCGCGGUAAUACAGAGGUCUCAAGCGUUGUUCGGAAUCACUGGGCGUACAGGGUGCGUAGGUGGCGUGGUAAGUCAGAUGUGAAAGCCCGGGGAUCAACCUCGGAACUGCAUCCGAUACUGCCAUGCUAGAGUACUGGAGAGGUGACUAGAAUUCUCGGUGUAGCAGUGAAAUGCGUAGAUAUCGAGAGGAAUACCAAAGGCGUAGGCAGGUCACUGGACAGUUACUGACACUGAGGCACGAAGGCCAGGGGAGCGAACGGGAUUAGAAACCCUGGUAGUCC